GCCUCUAUGGCACAGUGGUAAUGCGUCGCACUUGUAACCCAUAUAAGGCUAUGCGAAGGUACGUCUAAUGCUUCACACUGUGUACAGUAAUACCAGCAACUAACAUCCUAAACGAUCCGUGGUUCAAUUCCGCGUGGAGGCA
Pseudomassariella vexata is the source of this 142-nucleotide transfer RNA. It matches the Rfam family "tRNA". From Rfam's summary of the family: Transfer RNA (tRNA) molecules are approximately 80 nucleotides in length. NCBI's taxonomy places the organism in Eukaryota, Fungi, Ascomycota, Sordariomycetes, Amphisphaeriales, Pseudomassariaceae. The record is from Rfam.